This is a long non-coding RNA of Harpia harpyja (harpy eagle), 2807 nucleotides long. RefSeq lists it as uncharacterized. The record is from RefSeq and is a predicted model, not a curated record. The transcript is spliced from 2 exons. NCBI's taxonomy places the organism in Eukaryota, Metazoa, Chordata, Aves, Accipitriformes, Accipitridae.
AGUCAGAAGAGGUCCUCAUGGUCCUUUAACAGGGACAUUGCUGUCUAUUAUGACUGGUCAUCUUAUUUACUAAUUACUCCACUAUUCAAAUUAGGGCAGUAUUAUAAUACAUGCCUUGUUCGUUCUAUUUAAAAUUUCCCUUUGUUCUCAAAGAACAGGUUAGAUUUAGGUUUUAAUUGGUUUUCAUGCCCUCAUGAGACUUAAAAAGGGGGCCACAAAUCAGCCCAGAUAUGUUCCUACUCUUAAAGAAGGGUCGGCUGAUUCAACAAUCGAUUUGCUUUUCAUAGACUUGUUUCUCGUGGGUAUCUCUGAAACGAGUUUAGCUGCCUCAGCAAGUGAAGAACAACCCCCGGAAAGAGACACAAUUAUGCUUGUUGGAAGGAAACCAUGGGAGCAAGAGAUAAAACAGUAGAAGACAGAAUAAGAUGCCGCAACGUUGUAGUUUUGUGUACCCAGAUGUCUGUUAGCAGUUAACCCCUGACUUUUUAGAUAAGUUGCUAAUCAUGUGUAAGCUAUUUUUGUGUAACAACAGAAAAGUACUGAAGCUUAACUAUAGGCUGCUGUGUCAGCCACCUAGAGGGUAUAAAAGCUUGCUUAGCUUUUAAUAAAGUUGUCUUCGAUUCACCACAGUCGGAGUCCAUGCCUCUUAAUACACCACAAAUGGCACCCAACAUGGGGCAAUGAAACGACUAGCUGUCGAUCCAGUGGCGUAGCUCAGCUGAACUUUGAGACGGACGCUGCAACGAAGCGUUACCAGCGCGCUCAAUUACCUCUCGCAGGAUGAAGGUCUUGUUUCCAGACUUGAAUACUCAUUUUUAAAAGAAAUAUCAAAUGAAAGGCUAUUUGCACUUCUCUGGGAACUUAAAUGGCUUCUUGAUAGAAGAACACAGCCAUACUUUAUCCAACAUGUUUGUUCACAUACCUCUCUGCCAAGACCUAUCAGUGAGGGAAAUAAUGAAGCAGACCGUCUUACAGGCGCUGCAGUAUUACCAGAUCAUUUUGUGCAAACCCGUCUGUCUCAUGACUUUUAUUAUCAAAAUGCAAAAGCCUUGCAAAGGUCAUUUCAAUUAACACAAGACCAAGCUAGACAAAUUGUGCAAUCAUGCCCUGAUUGUCAGCAUGUUUUACCUACACCCUCAGUUGGAAUUAAUUCACAAGGAUUGUCCUCACUUGAAAUUUGGCAGACAGACAUUACUCAAAUACCAGAAUUUGGUAGAUUUAAACACGUCCAUGUGUCAAUUGAUAGCUUUUCUUCCUGCCUUUAUGCCUCAGUACACACAGGCGAAAAAUCUAAAGAUAUGUGUCGACACUUUGCAACCUUGGGAGUUCCAAAAACCAUAAAAACAGAUAAUGGCCCAGGCUAUAUAGCACACAAAACAGAGAUGUUUUUCCAGCAAUGGGGAAUAAAACAUGUUACGGGCAUUCCUCACUCAGGAAUUGCACACAGGACAGGCAAUUAUUGAACGAACACAUAGUACUCUUAAAACAAAGCUACAAAAACAAAAAAGGGGGAGCCAAGAGUUAUCCCCACAAGAACGAGUAGCAAAAGCCCGUUAUGUGUUGAAUCUUUUAAAUCGAUGGACAGAGGAUGGGCCUCCUAUACAACGACAUUUUAACUCACAAACCCAUCCUGAAAUCAAUAAUAAAGCUUUAGUGAUGGUAAAAAAUUUACAAACAAAUCAAUGGGAAGGACCUUUCCCUCUAAUAACAUGGGGUAGAGGAUAUGCUUGUGUCUCCACAGGUUCCAGCCCAAGAUGGGUGCCUGCACGGUGAUCAAGCCAUCUGUGUCACAACCAGCAUUAUCCCCACCUGAUGAUAACUGCAUCAGCAGUAUGGAUACCGCGUCAACCCAAGACAAACAUUUGGGUGACCUUGGCAAAAAAAACAGGACAAGAUACGCUGUGUUUGUCGACUGCUUCUCCAGAGAAUCCUUUUACAACCUGUUUGGUGGGUCAACCCAUAGAAGCGAAUCAGUGACCCAUCCCACAAGCUCAACAAAGUGCGAUACCUUUUGAUCAGACUGUGGUUGAUAACUGGGAUGGUUAGGCCUCAUACCUGCCAGCUAGCGAACAAGAAGCACAAGAAUUAGAUUUGUUAGGUGCUGUAAAAAUGGAUUAUUGUUUAUAUUUUAAUUAUACAGGAAAAAAUCAAUCAAUGAGUCAAUGACUAAAUGCAACAAUAGGAGCUUUUAGAAAUGCUAGCUUAUGGUGUAAUUAUACUAGUAGAAAUGUAUCAAGAUCUAACAAUCACCCACUCAAAUUACCUCCAGGAUUGUUUUUAAUUUGUGGGGACCGUGCAUGGCCUGGAAUUCCGUCAUAUGCAAAAGGAGGGCCCUGUAACAUAGAUGGAUUAAGCCUAUUAACGCCUAAUACAUCCAUGAUCAUUACUCACAAAUUGAGGAACGUAAAACACCAAAAAAGAGCCACACAUGCCUUUACUUCUGAUUGUAAGGAUGAUACGGAAUUUUGGAGUCCUAGUGAAAUUACAGCAGCAUCUGUGUUAACACCUGGAGUUCCUACAGCUCAGGCACUGUCUACUUUAAAUUAACUUGGCUGUUGGUUAGCAAAACAAACUAAUGCAACCUCCCUGGCUUUGAGUGGACUAUCGUUAGAUGUUGAUUCAAUUAGACAUGCGAUGCUUCAAAAUAGAGCAACCAUAGAUUUUUUACUGCUAGCACAAGGUCAUGGUUGUCAAGAUUUUGACGGACUCUGUUGCAUGAACUUGUCUGACCAUUCAGAAUCUAUUCACAAGAGUACUGAUGUUUUAUGUGGUCAAGUACAGAAACUAUGACAAAGUGAUGGAUUUAA